AAAUUGAAGAGUUUGAUCAUGGCUCAGAUUGAACGCUGGCGGCAGGCCUAACACAUGCAAGUCGAACGGUAACAGGAAGAAGCUUGCUUCUUUGCUGACGAGUGGCGGACGGGUGAGUAAUAUCUGGGAAACUGCCUGAUGGAGGGGGAUAACUACUGGAAACGGUAGCUAAUACCGCAUAAUGUCGCAAGACCAAAGAGGGGGACCUUCGGGCCUCUUGCCAUCGGAUGUGCCCAGAUGGGAUUAGCUAGUAGGUGGGGUAA
Molecule: ribosomal RNA, 263 nt
Filed under: Escherichia coli
Lineage: Bacteria; Pseudomonadati; Pseudomonadota; Gammaproteobacteria; Enterobacterales; Enterobacteriaceae
Description: partial 16S ribosomal RNA
Rfam family: Bacterial small subunit ribosomal RNA
Source: RNAcentral